RNAcentral lists this microRNA precursor (66 nucleotides) under Jaculus jaculus (lesser Egyptian jerboa). RNAcentral describes it as "miRNA (ENSJJAG00000006825.1)". Lineage: Eukaryota; Metazoa; Chordata; Mammalia; Rodentia; Dipodidae. The record is from RNAcentral.
GAAGAUGCUGGGUGCAGUGAACUGCACCUGUAAUUCCAGCUACUUGGGAGGCUGAGGCAGGAGGAU